This 495-nucleotide ribosomal RNA is filed under the name uncultured bacterium. Its description in RNAcentral is "partial 16S ribosomal RNA". It matches the Rfam family "Bacterial small subunit ribosomal RNA", at positions 28 to 507 of the family's 1533-position model. The record is from RNAcentral.
GACGAACGCUGGCGGCGUGCCUAAUACAUGCAAGUCGAACGCUGAAGCAGGAGCUUGCUUCCCUGGACGAGUUGCGAACGGGUGAGUAUCGCGUAGGUAACCUGCCUCGUAGCGGGGGGUAACUCUUGGAGACGAUAGCUAAUACCGCAUAAUAGUAGAUGUUGCAUGACAUUUGCUAAAAAGGUGCAGUUGUAUCACUACUAGAUGAUCCUGCGGUGUAUUAGCUAGUUGGUGGGGUAACGGCUCACCACGGCGACGAUACAGAGCCGACCUGAGAGGGUGGUCCGCCACACUGGGACUGGGGCACCGCCCAGACUCCUACCGGGAGCAGCAGGAGGGGAUCUUCGGGAAUGGACGGAAGUCUUACCGGGCAACGCCGGGGGGGGGAAGAAGGGUUUCGGGUCGUAAAGCUCUGUUGUAAGGGGAGAACGAGUGUGGGAGUGGAAAGUGCACGCUGUGACGGUACCUUACCAGAAAGGGACGGCUAACUACGUG